This 486-nucleotide ribosomal RNA is filed under the name uncultured bacterium. RNAcentral's name for it is "partial 16S ribosomal RNA". It matches the Rfam family "Bacterial small subunit ribosomal RNA", at positions 899 to 1397 of the family's 1533-position model. The record is from RNAcentral.
ACUCAAAUGAAUUGACGGGGACUCACACAAGCGGUGGACCAUGUGGCUUAAUUCGACAACAAACGAAGAACCUUACCAGGACUAGAAACCCAACUGACCAUUCUAUGAAAGUAGAACUUCGCAAGACAGUUGGGCAGGUGCUGCAUGGUUGUCGUCAGUUCGUGUCUUGAGACGUACCGUUAAUUCGGGUAACGAACGUAACCCUUGUCCUGUGUUUUACAUGUCACAGGAGACUGCCCGAGAUAAUUGGGAGGAAGGUGAGGAUGACGCCAAAUCAGCAUGGCCCUUUGAUGUCCUGGGCUGCACACGUGGUACAAUGGCCGGUACAAUGGGUUCGAAGCCGCAAGGCGGAGAAUAAUCCCACCAAAACCGGUCUCAGUUCGGAUUGAGGGCUGAAACUCGCCCUCAUGAAGCUGGAAUCGCUAGUAAUCGCCAAUCAGCUACGUGGCGAUGAAUACGUUCCUGAGUCUUGCACACACCGCCCGU